Molecule: unclassified non-coding RNA, 332 nt
Filed under: soil metagenome
Description: partial contains 5.8S ribosomal RNA, internal transcribed spacer 2, and large subunit ribosomal RNA
Rfam family: 5.8S ribosomal RNA (bases 1-120)
Source: RNAcentral
GAUGAAGAACGUAGUGAAAUGCGAUAAGUAGUGUGAAUUGCAGAAUUCAGUGAAUCAUCGAAUCUUUGAACGCACAUUGCGCCCUUUGGUAUUCCUUAGGGCAUGCCUGUUCGAGCGUCAUUUAAACCUUCAAGCUAAGCUUGGUGUUGGGUGACUGUCCGCUUCACGGCGGACUCGCCUCAAAAUUAUUGGCGGCCGGUCCAUUGGCUUCGAGCGCAGCAGAAACGCGAACUCGGGCCCGUCGUAUUGGCUCCCAGAAGCUAUCUUCACAAUUUUGACCUCGGAUCAGGUAGGGAUACCCGCUGAACUUAAGCAUAUCAAUAAGCGGAGGA